AGAGCGAACGCUGGCGGCAGGCCUAACACAUGCAAGUCGAGCGCCCCGCAAGGGGAGCGGCAGACGGGAGAGUAACACGUGGGAACGUACCCUUUGGUUCGGAACAACCCAGGGAAACUUGGGCUAAUACCGAAUAAGCCCUUACGGGGAAAGAUUUAUCGCCAAAGGAUCGGCCCGCGUCUGAUUAGCUAGUUGGUGAGGUAACGGCUCACCAAGGCGACGAUCAGUAGCUGGUCUGAGAGGAUGAUCAGCCUCACUGGGACUGAGACACGGCCCAGACUCCUACGGGAGGCAGCAGUGGGGAAUAUUGGACAAUGGCGCAAGCCUGAUCCAGCCAUGCCGCGUGGGUGAUGAAGGCCCUAGGGUUGUAAAGCCCUUUCGGCGGGGAAGAUAAUGACGGUACCCGCAGAAGAAGCCCCGGCUAACUUCGCGCCAGCAGCCGC
This 443-nucleotide ribosomal RNA is filed under the name uncultured bacterium. RNAcentral describes it as "SSU rRNA". It matches the Rfam family "Bacterial small subunit ribosomal RNA", at positions 26 to 518 of the family's 1533-position model. The record is from RNAcentral.